AUACGUAGGGGGCGAGCGUUAUCCGGAUUUAUUGGGCGUAAAGCGUGUGUAGGCGGUUUGUUAAGUUUAAGAUUAAAGCCCGAGGCUUAACCUCGGUUCGUCUUGAAAACUGGCAGACUUGAGUGCAGUAGAGGCAAGUGGAAUUUCUAGUGUAGCGGUUAAAUGCGUAGAUAUUAGAAGGAAAACCAGUGGCGAAGGCGGCUUGCGGGGCUGUUACUGACGCUGAGCAACGAAAGCGGGGGGAGCAAAUAGGAUUAGAUACCCUAGUAGUCCACGCCGUAAACGAUGAGUACUAAGUGUCGGGUAACCGGUGCUGAAGUUAACACAAUAAGUAUUCCGCCUGGGGAGUACGGCCGCAAGGCUAAAACUCAAAGGAAUUGACGGGG
RNAcentral lists this ribosomal RNA (386 nucleotides) under uncultured bacterium. Its description in RNAcentral is "partial 16S ribosomal RNA". It matches the Rfam family "Bacterial small subunit ribosomal RNA", at positions 523 to 918 of the family's 1533-position model. The record is from RNAcentral.